This 590-nucleotide ribosomal RNA is filed under the name Conus bengalensis. RNAcentral's name for it is "partial 12S ribosomal RNA". It matches the Rfam family "Microsporidia small subunit ribosomal RNA", at positions 391 to 1206 of the family's 1311-position model. The record is from RNAcentral. Lineage: Eukaryota; Metazoa; Mollusca; Gastropoda; Neogastropoda; Conidae.
UGCCAGCAGUCGCGGUUAAACCAAGAAAUUUAGUCAUUCUUUUAUGGUAAAAAGACAGUUAGGCAGAAAAGUAAAGGACCCUUAGACCCUUAGUACAGGAGUAAAAUCUAAAUACUAAGAGUUAUACCUGACAUGGUUUAUUAAAAGUGCUGAAUCUGUGAUAGCUUUAAGGGAAACUGGGAUUGGAUACCCCAUUAUUUUUAGUUGUAAAUUUAGUUAAGACUUACCGGAGUACUGCGAAUAAAAAAGUUUAAAACUCAAAGGGCUUGGCGGUGUUUUAGACCUCUCAGGGGAACCUGUCUCAUAAUCGACAAUCCACGUUAAACCUAACCUUUUAUAGCGAUACAGUUUGUAUACCGUCGUCGUCAGGUAACCUCUUAAAAUAUAGUAGUUAGCCCGAGAAUCAAGUUAAUUAAAACGUCAGAUCAAGGUGCAGCCAAUAAAAAGGUGAGGAUGGGUUACAAUUACACAUUUGUAAAUACGGAAAAUACUUGAAACAAAGUAUCUUAAAGGAGGACUUGAAAGUAAUUCUAAUUAUAUAAAUAGGAUGAAUAAGGCUCUGAAACGUGCACACAUCGCCCGCCGCUCUU